This 2776-nucleotide long non-coding RNA is filed under the name Sus scrofa (pig). RNAcentral's name for it is "lncRNA (ENSSSCG00000059050.1)". Lineage: Eukaryota; Metazoa; Chordata; Mammalia; Artiodactyla; Suidae. The record is from RNAcentral.
GGCUCCGAGGCACCUCUGCCACCAGGCAGUGCGCGGAGAGACCAGGUGGGCACUGAAUGGGCAACCCUGCACCGUCCUCUUGAAAACAGCAUCCUGAGAGGUACGGGCCCUCCAGCUCUCAAAUGCCAGAGCCUCCGUGUCUACAUAGAAUGUUCCAGGUCAAGAAACAAAGCCUUAGAGAGGCUCCCAGGCCUGCCACGGAGCUAGAAAGUGACAGAGCUAGGAUUUGAACUUGGCACUUGUCACCCAACAAGUGGUCUUUAGCUGCUGUCCGGUCUCCCUGAGAUGCAUGCCUCCUCCUCUUGGAACACAGCACCCAUCACCUUACCCCCAGCGGACAUAUCCUGGUUUGACCAUGUUACUGCAGGAAAGAAGAGCUGGCCUUCUGUGGCAGAUUGAAUCAUGUUCAUCCAAAGAUGUGCUAAAUAAAUCCUCACCCCUGGUCCCUGUGCAGGUGACCUCAUCUGGAAAUAGGGUCUCUGCAGAAGUAAUCAAGUUAAGCCCAGGAGACCCACUGGAGAAGGAGGCUGGGGCUUAGAGAAGUGGAAUCACGUGCCUAAGGAGAGGAAGCUAGUGCCGGGCAACGCCAGGACUCGGACCCAGGGCUUGCUGACACCAGACCCCAGUGUCUGACUCAUUGGCUCCCCAAGAGCAGUUACCUUCGUAAGAAGCCUUGAAGCCCAGGGAGCUGCCGCUGCCAUCGGUCUGGAAGAGGAGCCACAUUUGAUGGUUGGUGCUGACGAUGAGAUCCGGGACCGAGUUACCUGUCAGGCUGUCGGGAGAGAGAGAUUUAGAGGCGUGCACCCCAUCAUGGCACCCCAAGAGAAUGACUGUUAGGAGACACGAGGCUGAAAACACAGCAGCCACCCCAGGCCACAUUCUUUCUGAAGAAGAGCAUUUAAGCAUGGAGAGGAUUCUGAUUCAACUCACAUUUACCAGGUACCUACCCAGAUACGAAGCACUCACCACAUGCCACCCGAGGAGGUGGGCAUUUCAACAGGGAGCACGACAUGGGCCCUGCCCUCGGUGAACAGGGAGACGGAAAAGUAAACUGAUAACUGCAAUGCCAGGUGACAGAUGCUACAGUGAGGGCUUGCAGAUCUCAGAGCCUUGUCGGGGGGCGGGAGUCGGGGAGCAGUGUGGGCGGGGGCUGUUCACGAUGGGGGUUGUGGUCUGAGAAUUUGGAAGGUUAUGGAAGACAGCCAAGUCAAAGGGGGAUGCUGGGACAGGAGGGGUCAGGUACACAAGGGCUGAGCUGGGGCAGAGAUGGAACGUUUUAGAACAAAUAGUCAGCAUCUUGUCAAUGUACGUCCACAAACAGCACAGCUGGCAGCCGCCUUGCUCUGGGGGACAAUGUGGAUGGGCCCUCAGUGCAAGGAGAUGACUCAAAAAGGCUUGGAAUUUGAGAUGUUUGCCUGGAGCUAAGUCCAAAGGGUUUCGUGGUCUCCCCUGCCCCAAACGGCUGGGGUUCAUCCUGGCGGGGGGGGGACAGAAGGGUCUUGCACAGUGGCUGGCAGGGACACCUAAGUGCCGGAGAAUGUAGGUAUGGGUGCUCAGGUGGAAAAUGCAGAAGGGAGGCUGGGGGAGGUGAGGACAGCUCGAGGCUUCUAUGGCAGUUAAGUGAGCGAUGCAGCGGGGCAGGAGGGGUGGAAGAGAGACAAGGCCUGACAUCUUUAGGGCCGUGUGAUUGGAUGGAUAUGGAGGGAUCUGGGAUGACUUGCGGGUUUCGGGUUUGGGCAACUGGGUGCUGGGUGACAGUGCUAGUCACGGAGACAGGACACACAGAGGCCCCUCUCCUAACAUCUAGUCUCCGUCUCUUGUCUGCUUCAGUCAAGGCAAUGGAGAUGCUCAGUCCCCCAGUAGGGAGGCUGGAGGUGCUUCUUUGUUUUCUAUUCUAUAACCCAGGGACUAGAGAAUUCCCGUGGAUCAUCCUUCCUAGCUGUGCAGGCUUUCCCUGUCCAAAUCAAACAGCCCCUCGGAGGGAAGCUCCCCCAGGGGGUCUUCAGGUACCUCAGCAGGAAACCUGUGCAGCCCUUGGGCACGAGCCCAGUACAGUGUGUGCAGGCUCCCCACCUCCAGCACACUCACGGGGACGAGGGGGUCCCCCUGGCUGGGAGGAGGCUGGAGGAGGCUUCCUGGAGGAGAUGAAGCCCAGGCUGAUUUGCGAGAUGGAGUGGAGCUCAAUAAAUGGAGAAGGAAGGGGAAGCCGGUCCUGCCUUCCAAAAGAUGUUGCCAUUUCCUGCGCCCCGGCUCCCCUGGCCAUGUCUCCACAUCUUUGAGCUCUUGGUCAAGUGCUCCCUGACUGCCCUUCCUCCUUGCUCUGUGUCAGGACUUACCUGUGACUGACCUGGCAACUGGUCUUCCACCAUACCAUGAGCCCCCUGGAGGGCAGGGGCCAGGUCUCAUGGCCUCUGACCUGCCAGCAUCCACUGGUGUGCCAGGGGCUCAGACAAUGUUGAAUAGGAGAAAGCUUUCUAAACUUUUCCUGACUCUCCAGUGUGGAUGGAUUGCCAGGCUCUUGGACCCCUCACAGGAGGUGCCAUCUAGAACAAAGGUGGGCAGACUGCUCCCUUAAAGGGCCAGGGAGUAGAUAUUUGCCCCUGUGCAUUCCAUCUGAUGUCCGUCGCAGAGACCCAGCUUUGCUGUCACAGGAUGAACGGAGCCAUGGCUGCGUACACCCAAGUAGCAUGUACAGCCCUAACCCACGUACAAACAUGUGCAUACGAAUGAGUGUGCUUGUGUUCCAAUAAAAGUUUGCAAAAACAAGCAAUGAACU